UGGACCAGUGCAGAGAUUAAGUCAUGAGCCAAGGAUUAUGAUUAAUCCAAUGCUGUGCACCUGAGGUCCAAA
Molecule: small nucleolar RNA, 72 nt
Filed under: Otolemur garnettii (small-eared galago)
Lineage: Eukaryota; Metazoa; Chordata; Mammalia; Primates; Galagidae
Description: Small nucleolar RNA SNORD112 (ENSOGAG00000022447.1)
Source: RNAcentral